RNAcentral lists this long non-coding RNA (1549 nucleotides) under Mus musculus (house mouse). Its description in RNAcentral is "RIKEN cDNA B130055M24 gene". Lineage: Eukaryota; Metazoa; Chordata; Mammalia; Rodentia; Muridae. The record is from RNAcentral.
AGAUUGGGCCGGGCCUCACCGAGCGCGCCCAGGAGGCCGUAGGUCUCGCGCAUCACAUCCCGGUACAGAGUCCUCUGAGCGGGCUGCAGACACCCCCACUCCUCCGAGGAGAAGUACACGGCCACGUCCACGAACUUCAAGGCCCUUGGCCUCCUGCCCCUUUUCCGAGUAGGUCCAGCCUCUCCGACUGCCCGCAGGAGAAGCGGAGCCGAAGGUGGCGCCAUCGGACCUGCUCCCCGGCCUUGCCACGGGGACCCGGAGACCUAGAAGCUCCGUCGGGAAGGCCCGGAGGAAAUCUGAAUCGGCUGCCUGAGGGGCCGGGCGGCCCGACACAGACCGUUAUUCAGGGAACUCCCGCUGGAACUUGGGUGAGAGGCACCGGAAGAUGCCUUCGGGGAAGAUGGCGGCGCUGCUCCUGCACCACCGCUGCCUAGAACACAGGCAGGUUCCAGCUAUCGAUUUUAUUGACCCGAACGCCAUGCCGACUUCUUAACCUCCUUGCCCUAAAGUGUAAUGGCGCUGCGAGAUGGCUUCUUGCCUACUUUCCUCCUAUCUAUUGCAUUCGUUUAUUGGUUGGUAGCUGAAGAUCGGGCGUUCUGAUUGGUCAUCAAUGAAGGCGGCCCAUUUGAAUGAAGCCAACGGAUUCUUAAGGGCAAGAAGGUGGAUCCUGUGUCUCUAAGCCGGUUGUGAGAAGUCUUAUGAAUGGGAGGCUUUUCUUGUGUUCUCCAACGCUUGUUUGCCCUACUUGGAGAAGACGUUUCUACAGGUCUUCCAAAGGGAAAGUCACACAGUGACAACAUGGAUUUUUGAACAGCUACAUCCUACGAUCAUAAAGGUGUCACAGCCAGGAAUUCUGAAAAGUACUAGAUGAGAAGGGAGCGGUGGUAAGGAUCUGGUGCACAAAAGGCGCGUCUGGUAAAAUUGAAUGACUAGAAUGGUAAGUUGACUGGUCUUGUACCUUGGGCAGCUCCUAAGUAGUCUAUAGAAGUGAAUGGCCUACCUGAGUACCAAGGAAGUUCGCUUGUUUAGAGGUGAGACCAAUAGCUUUGGGCUUACCCUUUCUUUGUACAGUGGAAUGCACAUUUAGGCUACCAGGGGGAACAAAAGACAGAUGGCUAGUUGAUCCUUUCAUUUAUAAUGAAGCAGGGAAAUCACCCCUGUACCGUUGCUUUCCGAAAUAGUGCAGCUGUGUCAACGUGUGUCAGGAGUGCAUGGGCAACAUAGACCCUGUUUUUAAAUGAAGAGUGUAUAGCCCAGUGGCAGGCAUUUGCCUAGCAUGCAUGGGGCCCAAAGUUCUAUAAAAGUAUUUUUAAAAUAGAUACCCAGGACUGGGUAUGAAGCCGAACCUAUUGCUCCUUUCUGAAUAAUUAUCAGGUAAGGAAGACUGCACAGAGGGUAAAUAGGAUUCGCACAUCUAGAGGCCACACAGAGAGGCUGUGCCUUCGCUGCUGAGAGCCAGCCAAGCACCUGGACUAUUCGAGUAGAUGGUGUCUGAAACUUUAUGUCUAGAGUCCUGGACUCCCCCCUCCAUAGAGAACUACAACAAAAA